CUCCAUUUUCAUCAUCUGAUAGCAGGAACAGCAUGUGAGGACGGCGGAUGAAUUGCAAACCUGUGCAGGUCGGGGGAGAGGGCAGGCAAGUGGGGGGAGAUGGGCAGAUUCAGUUCAUCCUGGCUGAGGUCUUGUGCAGCCUGCUCCCCUCUGACUCACAGCUCUUGCUCCAGUUACAGCCUCCACCCAGCCCCCCAAGCCAGCCAGGGAUGCUCCAGUGUACCCCAGAAAUCGACCCCUGGAGUGAGUUUCCAUAACAAUGCCAAGGGGGCGAGGGAGGAACUGGGGACUGUCCCUAAGAUCUGGGGAGCUGGGGCUCAUGCAGAUCCCAUCCCACAAAGUAGUGGUGUCCUUCCUCUUUGUUCCUGGUGGCUUUUUUAAGGAGGACACAGACAUGGAACUUUCUCAGCCUCUGCCAUCUCCUCUCUUUCUCUGAGGCAAGUAACUGCCUCACAACUGACAGGAACCAAGUGACACGGCUGUCUCUUUCCCAUAUUCAACCUCAGUCAUGGACCCCUCCACCUAAUCUCUGUUCACCAGGCAUGGUCCAGGUGCGGGUUUUAGUUAGAGCAGAAUAUGGUCCCUGAACUCUGAGACCCCCCACGUUGAUGGUGAAUCCAAAGGAAUGGGUAAGUCUUUAAUGCCUGUGUGAAGGGAGCUGUUGCAGGACAAAACCUGACCUGAGCACUCUCAGUGGCUCUGAGGGACCCGUGACAGGGACACGUGGCUACAGGCAGCCUUCCCCUCUGUCGGCAUCUACCUGGGCAACCUGGAGCAGGUUUCUCUGUGUGCCACAGCCCACCCGUGGGAUGACUGUGGAUGUUCAUCUGCCUGCCAGGGUGGCUGCAAGAUGCAAGGUAAACUGUGUGCACCACCCCAGGGCAACGUAGAAAGCCUGUCUGACUCUCAGAUUGCUCUUCUCCCCCUUUUCUCGAUGUGGUGACUGAGGAUGGAGGACUGUCCCAUAGGAGCCAGGAUCAGAACAGGAAGGCUGAUGUGCUGCUGGAGCUGGCUGCCCCUUCCGGUCCUGCCUGCCAGGGGCAGUGCUGCACAGAGCUGGCUUCUGUGUGGGGCUCGGAGCAGCUCCCGGCUCCCACCCAAAGCCCCUUUCUCCUUGUAGAGCUUGCUCACAGGCUCCCAUUCAGAGGCUGACUGAUUGAAGAGGCGGCUGUGGGUCGGCAGUGUGACCUUUGGGCCCGCCUUGGUGGGUGAAUGAGUUAAGCCCCCCGAGGCCCCUCCACCCCAAAGGGACCAGCCAGGCCCUGAUUCUGCACAGAUCUAGCUAGGAAGGUGCCAUAUGGCAGGGAGGACGGGGCUGAGGUCCUGGCUUUCAGCCCCCAUGGGUCACCCACCCCUUCUCUUCAAUGUGCCCAUUCAAAAAGCCAGGCAAAUAAUCACCCUUCUCUCUUCGUGUGGAUUAGAGGAGGGGAGGGGCUGAAGGUGAGUUUGCAACUGAAUCCAUGUGAAAACAGGAGAGAGCCUUGGUACCAUCCUGUUGCCUUGUUAACAGUUUUUUGGUUUGCUUUUUGUUUUUGGUACAAGGGACUGAACCCAGGGGCACUUAACCACUAAGCCACAUCCUCAGCCCUUUUUAUAUUUUGAGUCAGGGUCUUGCUAAGUUGCUGAGGCUGGCUUAGAACCUGCAAUCUUCCUGCUUCAGCCUCCUGAGCCACUGGGAUUACAGGCCUGCACCACUGCACCCAGUGGAACAAUUUUUUUUGCAAAGAUGGAAUGUUCCAUAGGAUGCACUGCCCAACUGGACAGUCACUAGCCACAGGUGGCUAUUAAGCAUUGCAAUGUAGCUAGUGUCACUAAAGAAUGAAACUUUUAAUUACUUAAUUUAAUUAGGUUUAAAUAGCCACAUGUGGCUAGUAGUGACAUUUUAUUGAACAGCGCAGGUCUAGUAGAGAGGGAAUGCUGUAUCUUUGAGGCCACACAAACCCAGGUUCAAAGUGUGACUCUGCAAUAUAUACUCGUCCCUGUGUGGCUGCUUAACCUCUUAAGACUCAGUUUCCCCACUAUUUAAUAUACAGUUGAGUAAAUAAUACUAAGUGAGCCUGGUCGGGGAUAGGCUACUGUGCAGCCAGCAUCAAAACCAGGGUCCAGGUCACCAGCUCCAAGAUGCACUUACAGCCAAUCCUCCUUCCCUGCCUCAGCCAGUGUGAGGGUGCAGGCUACAGAGACUGGAAGGAGGAUACAGAUCCAGACUUCUUCCCUGGCCUUGGCUGAGGGAGGCUGGUGUGCACGAAAUGUCUCCUCUCUCCAGUGCAAGGAAGAGUUGGCAGACCAGGUCCAGAAGUCUUGGGUUAGGCCGUCAGGCGUGGCCUUCAACUCUGUGGCCCCCAGAUGAAUCUUCCAUGAGCAAGUGUUCCAGUGGGCGAGCCUGGACCCAGGCUGGAUGGCGAUGCUACCAGAAGGAAGUGCCCUGCCCUUGUCCUCAGCUGCCAGCUUUUCUUCCUAGACUUCUGCCCCUCCUGCUUUUCUUCCUCCUAUACCUGAGCCCAAACUUACCUGCCCUAUGUCCCAUCCUGGUGAGAAUCUGCUCAUUAUUUUCCCAAAUGAUAUCUGCAUCUCCAUGGUCCCAGGUACUGAUGUCCUCCUAAGAUCUGGUUUUGGUCUUUCCAAGAAGUGUGGACAACAGGGUAAAGAAAGGGAGGUCCUGAGCCAGGUCAGCAGGUGAGAGUGGGGAGGGAGCGCAUCCCAGGCUGCUCCGAGGGCAGUCACCCCCCCGUCUUGCUCUCCAGAGCCUCUGAGGCAGCUACCUGCAAACCCUGUGCCACCAUGCCAGGUAAGUGGGGGCUCCCUGGAGCAAGGAUCUGGGACCAGGACACUCAGCCCAGCCAGCACAUGUUGGUCUGUCCUCAAGGUGCAUGGCACCAACAGUUCAUCUGGAUGACAAGGUCCCCCUUCCCCAGUGAGGGAGAGUUGGUACAGUGCCAAGCAUGGGUUUCCCCAACACACCUUCAUCUCCCAGGGCCCACAUGUCCUUGCCCAGUGUUAUGUCACAAUCCUGUAGUGAGAGGGAAAGAGCUCUGCCCCAUCCAUGGAAGGGGAGAUCAAGUUUCAAAAAGCUACCUAGUAACUCUGCAUGAGUCUCUCCCUCCUACCCACACUGAAUUAUUAUCAUCAUCAUCAUCACCACCACCAUCACUUUCACUUAGUAAAGGCCAGGUUCUGUGUGUGGAGCCUGCUUUAUUACAUCAUCCUUACUCUGGCUCUGAGAAGUAGGUAUCAUGGUCCCUAUUUUACAGAUGGAGAAACUGAGGACCAGAGAAGUCACUAACUUGUCUAAAAACCACACAGCUCCUUUGAAGCAGGAGAGAGAAACAUGAGGCCCAAGAUAUCACUCUGUGCCCUGCACAACUGCCCAGGAUGGAGGAGCUAGAGCGGGGAAAGGCUGGUGAGGUGGCCAUCACAGGCCACUCCAUAACAUGCCACUGAGCCCAGAACAUGGAGUCUGCCGCCUGGAGCAAGAGAAGAGUGGAUCUCGGUGGGAGUCGGGCCUGCAGAGCUUCAGGAAAACCCCCAUAGAACCAGCUGCAGAUCUUCUUUCCCUCCGCUCCACCCUCACGGAGACUUUUCCUCCAGGCCAGCCUGUUCUGCUGGAAAAACAAUCUCCCCUGCCUGGGGACCCGGGCCGGCUGGGCCACCUUCUGGUCUGUCUUCAUUCAGAUCCAUUUCUCUCCUCCCUGGAGCCGGGGGAGGGAGUCAUGCUGGGGGAGGCACGGGUGGGGCUGAAGACUUCAUCUGUCCCCCUUUAAGCCAAGCAAAGAAAAAUAGCCUUUUGCCAAGAUCUUUCAUCUCAGUCAUUUACUCUCGCAGAUGUUUUCUGCAAUAUAAACAAGAAGCAAGGAAUGUCGGGGAGGAAAGGAGGACGGGAGGCGGGCAGGAGGGAAGGAGAAGAAUCAACAGCUUUGAAAUCUGGGCCUGCAGAGGGCAGGAAACAGGACCUCAGCAGGGUCCCUGCUGCCCUGAGAGCAUGGGCAAACCCGAGGUCACUGCACCAGGCCAAGCAGAGGGGGCUGCUGGGGGUGUCUUUGAAAGAAGGCUCUGGAGAAGUGGGCCAGCCCUUCAGUGAGUGGUCACCCCAAACGAGCUCCCCCUGUCUGGAAACCUGCCCAUGGGGAGACACUGCCGGGGCCUCGGCUUACCUGGAGUGGCACCUGGCUGGGGCACACCCUUGCCCACCUUAGCACAUCCCAAAAGCUGUUCUGGACUUCAGAACUCUGUCGACUGCCCCAGAUCUGCCAGCAAGACCAGUGGGAGGUGCGGCACCCACAGUGGCAAUAAGGAUUUGGUCAUAGAGGGAGGAGGAAGAAUCCUGAGCUGGGGGGUGGAGGGCAGGAGAAGCAGAUCACACAGUGGGUCAAGAGCUAACCAGGAAGGCAGAUGGCUCCCAGCUCCACAUUUUGUGGGAUUCCUACUAGUGUCAACAGCUAAUAAGCCUGGGGUUGGUUGCAAACUCAAAUGUCUAUGCGGACUGACCAGGAGCCCAAAGGAGUGACGCUGAAUGGGGACAGUAUGAAGAAGAAAAGGCAUCUAGAAGGGUGGCCACCACUCAGCUUUGCGCUACGAAAGAUUCAAGAGAGCCCAGAAAUCCAC
RNAcentral lists this long non-coding RNA (4602 nucleotides) under Marmota monax (woodchuck). Lineage: Eukaryota; Metazoa; Chordata; Mammalia; Rodentia; Sciuridae. The record is from RNAcentral.